GACGAACGCUGGCGGCGUGCUUAACACAUGCAAGUCGAACGGAAAGGCCCUGCUUUUGUGGGGUGCUCGAGUGGCGAACGGGUGAGUAACACGUGAGUAACCUGCCCUUGACUUUGGGAUAACUUCAGGAAACUGGGGCUAAUACCGGAUAGGAGCUCCUGCUGCAUGGUGGGGGUUGGAAAGUUUCGGCGGUUGGGGAUGGACUCGCGGCUUAUCAGCUUGUUGGUGGGGUAGUGGAUUACCAAGGCUUUGACGGGUAGCCGGCCUGAGAGGGUGACCGGCCACAGUGGGACUGAGAUGCGGCCAAGACUCAUACGGGAGGCAGGGGUGGGGAAUAGUGCAAAAUGGGCGGAGGCCUGAUGCAGCAACGCCGCGUGCGGGAUGACGGCCUUCGGGUGGUAAACCGCUUUCGCCUGUGACGAAGCGUGAGUGACGGUAAUGGGGAAAGAAGCACCGGCUAACUACGU
This 467-nucleotide ribosomal RNA is filed under the name uncultured bacterium. Its description in RNAcentral is "partial 16S ribosomal RNA". It matches the Rfam family "Bacterial small subunit ribosomal RNA", at positions 28 to 506 of the family's 1533-position model. The record is from RNAcentral.